GACAGCCAAUCCAUGAUUCUCUCCCAUCACUGAUGUUUCUCUCUCUCCUCCCCUCUCCCUUCCUCUCUGAAAUCAAUAACAAUAUUUUUUUUAAAAAGAAAAGGGGCAGUCUGGGGAUUAUUAGAUGACUGCUAGUAAAACAAGGAGGGAUAGUGGCUGGUAGAAUAUAACAAUGAGAGGUUUGAAGCCGAGAAUUUUAGGAAGGAGGGAAAGCAAACGGUUUGAAAGCAGCCACGAGCAACAGAGAAGCACAGACCCAUCUCCUGUGAGUGUUACCAGGAAGGUGGGCGAGGACAGCGCCGCACUGGAGAAGCCUGCAGGGUGAGCUAAGCUUCAGCUGGAGCAGAGGAAGCUACACUCAGAGGACAGGCUGAGAAGCAGGGGUCCACCUGAAGCCUGACGAGAAAGGGUCUGAGCGACGGGGAGGAAGCACCUGGGCCCACGCCACCUUUGGGCACAGCAUCACCUUGACUGUUGCGAGCGACCUAAUCUCUGCUUUGCUCCAGUUUCCUGUCUGUACACGGGGAAUAAUCAUGGCAUGUAGCUAGAGUGUCAAUGUAAGAAUUAUAUUCAACAAUACAAGGCAGGCAUCGAGAAAGACCUUAAAACUGUGCACCGAGCACACAGUCUGUAUGUUAGCUAUUGCUACAGGCUGCUUUCUCUUCUGCAUAAUCAUUUUAGAAUCUUUAUUUUCACUUAACAUUUGAGUAACAUUAAAAAGUCUUAGAUGUUCAAUAAGAUUAUGAAAUGUAAGGGGGAGGAUGAUAACAUGUGUUUGUCUGAGUCUCUGCAGGUCAAGGACUGCGGACACCGGAAGCUCAGCAGCAAUCCAUGAGCUCACAGCGUGGUGACCUCUGCAGGAGAUGUCGCUCUGUCCUCCAUCUCCCUCAUCUGUCCUGCAGAUGCCAAGGGAUAUCACUAAUCUUUCUGGAAAACAGGGAUGCAGGGCAAGGAUGAACAGAAAUGGGAGAUAAUCACUCACAGACGUUGGUGCACAAUGUUACCAAAGGCUUUCUGGACAAAUGAGUAGCUUUUCUCAAAGAAAAGGAUUCCAGGACAGAAAGGCUUUUUUAGGGCCAGAAGAAACCGCUGCAGUUGAACAAGAUACACCAAGGCACACAGAGAAUCAAUCCAGACUACAACAAAGAGACCAUCCUACUCUAAUUUCACCACUGCCAGCACUCAAAGCAGAGC
Long non-coding RNA from Myotis lucifugus (little brown bat), 1194 nucleotides. RefSeq lists it as uncharacterized. The transcript is spliced from 3 exons. NCBI's taxonomy places the organism in Eukaryota, Metazoa, Chordata, Mammalia, Chiroptera, Vespertilionidae. The record is from RefSeq and is a predicted model, not a curated record.